Molecule: ribosomal RNA, 995 nt
Filed under: Cellulosimicrobium sp.
Lineage: Bacteria; Bacillati; Actinomycetota; Actinomycetes; Micrococcales; Promicromonosporaceae
Description: bacterial SSU rRNA
Rfam family: Bacterial small subunit ribosomal RNA
Source: RNAcentral
GCAAGUCGAACGAUGAUGCCCAGCUUGCUGGGCGGAUUAGUGGCGAACGGGUGAGUAACACGUGAGUAACCUGCCCUUGACUUCGGGAUAACUCCGGGAAACCGGGGCUAAUACCGGAUAUGAGCCGUCCUCGCAUGGGGGUGGUUGGAAAGUUUUUCGGUCAGGGAUGGGCUCGCGGCCUAUCAGCUUGUUGGUGGGGUGAUGGCCUACCAAGGCGACGACGGGUAGCCGGCCUGAGAGGGCGACCGGCCACACUGGGACUGAGACACGGCCCAGACUCCUACGGGAGGCAGCAGUGGGGAAUAUUGCACAAUGGGCGAAAGCCUGAUGCAGCGACGCCGCGUGAGGGAUGAAGGCCUUCGGGUUGUAAACCUCUUUCAGCAGGGAAGAAGCGCAAGUGACGGUACCUGCAGAAGAAGCGCCGGCUAACUACGUGCCAGCAGCCGCGGUAAUACGUAGGGCGCAAGCGUUGUCCGGAAUUAUUGGGCGUAAAGAGCUCGUAGGCGGUUUGUCGCGUCUGGUGUGAAAACUCGAGGCUCAACCUCGAGCUUGCAUCGGGUACGGGCAGACUAGAGUGCGGUAGGGGAGACUGGAAUUCCUGGUGUAGCGGUGGAAUGCGCAGAUAUCAGGAGGAACACCGAUGGCGAAGGCAGGUCUCUGGGCCGCAACUGACGCUGAGGAGCGAAAGCAUGGGGAGCGAACAGGAUUAGAUACCCUGGUAGUCCAUGCCGUAAACGUUGGGCACUAGGUGUGGGGCUCAUUCCACGAGUUCCGUGCCGCAGCAAACGCAUUAAGUGCCCCGCCUGGGGAGUACGGCCGCAAGGCUAAAACUCAAAGGAAUUGACGGGGGCCCGCACAAGCGGCGGAGCAUGCGGAUUAAUUCGAUGCAACGCGAAGAACCUUACCAAGGCUUGACAUGCACGAGAAGCCACCAGAGAUGGUGGUCUCCUUUGGACACCUCGUGCCACAGGUGGUGCAUGGUUGUCGUCAGCUCG